Homalodisca vitripennis (glassy-winged sharpshooter) is the source of this 419-nucleotide long non-coding RNA. RefSeq lists it as uncharacterized. The record is from RefSeq and is a predicted model, not a curated record. Lineage: Eukaryota; Metazoa; Arthropoda; Insecta; Hemiptera; Cicadellidae. The transcript is spliced from 3 exons.
ACCGCCGACUCCUCCUCCUCCUAUCGGUCAGCGGCAGCGAGAAGCACAACAGGUUGGUUUUUUAUCGUUUGUAUUGUUAUCCGAUUACUAAACUGAAGAUUUUUACUAUAAUAUUAUCUUUGUGGUUUUUACCAUCAGAUACCCGAUUCACCUGAUUCUCCUGACGCCCAGCAUGCUGAGGACUUUUUAGAGGCUUUAAUAGCAGAAGAACAGAUACCCGAUUCACCCGAUUCUCCAGGAGCCCAGCACGAUGAGGACUUUUUUGAGGCUUUAUUAGAAGAAGAAGAAGAACAGCAGUCAUCUGACCCUUGGGAAUUCCCAUCACGCGGUAGCUGCAGACGCAGAACUCCUCCUCCUUCGAGUUCUUCAGAUUCGGUUAGUGGAAUUUUUGUGUGUGUGUGUGUGUGUGUGUGUGUGUG